AAAAACAUGUCUUUAUGAAUUUUAUAUAAAGUCUAGCCUGCCCAUUGACGUGAAGUUAAAAGGCCGCGGUAUAUUGACCGUGCGAAGGUAGCAUAAUGAUUUGUUCUUUAAUUGAGGACUGGAAUGAAUGGUUGAACAAAAAGCUAACUGUCUUACUAACAAAUCUUGAAUUUAACAUUUAAGUGAAAAGGCUUAAAUAUUUUAAGGGGACGAUAAGACCCUAUAAAUCUUUAUAUUUUAAUGUUUGAUUGUAAAUUUUAGUUGAAAGAUUUAUGGUUAGUCGUUAAAAUAUUUUGUUGGGGCGACAGAGGUAAAAUAAGUAACUGCCUUGAAUUUAAGAAGUUAAGUGUGUAUAGAUUGUAUAUUAAAGUGGUCCUUCAUUGAGGAAUAAUAGAAUAAGUUACUUUAGGGAUAACAGCGUAAUCCUUUUUAAGAGUUCAGAUCGAAAAAAGGGAUUGCGACCUCGAUGUUGAAAUUAAAAGAUCCUUUACGGUGCAGAAAGUGU
RNAcentral lists this ribosomal RNA (505 nucleotides) under Nupalirus japonicus. RNAcentral's name for it is "partial 16S ribosomal RNA". It matches the Rfam family "Bacterial large subunit ribosomal RNA", at positions 1809 to 2565 of the family's 2925-position model. The record is from RNAcentral. Lineage: Eukaryota; Metazoa; Arthropoda; Malacostraca; Decapoda; Palinuridae.